This 238-nucleotide long non-coding RNA is filed under the name Elaeis guineensis (African oil palm). RNAcentral's name for it is "long non-coding RNA (EGUI_LNC007496)". The record is from RNAcentral. Lineage: Eukaryota; Viridiplantae; Streptophyta; Magnoliopsida; Arecales; Arecaceae.
AUGUGAAAAUCAAGGAGAAAGAGUAUUGGGGCAUGGAGAUAUAAUAGACACAAGACUAAGUGUCUGGGUUAGAGCAAAGAGAAGAAGAAGAGAAUCUUCUUCUAGGGUUGCUAAGUUCACCUCUUCUCUUCCUCCAUUUGUGAGUUUUUUAAGAAUGUCUCACAUCUAAAAUUUUUUCUCCUACUUCUCAUCUUUGAAAGAGUCCAAAUCAAGAAGGAGGCAUCUGAUCGACCAUCGA